CGUGCUUUCAAUCUAUUGCUCUAAUAAGAAGCAAUUUAUUUGACUAGAUAGAUAAAUGGAUGCAAUAACUGAAUUUUAUUAGUGUGGAAUUUGAGAUUGAUGUUCCUUUAUAUCUUUGUAAUUGAUAGGAGCCCACAAAAUCAUGGGAGGAUAGCGAUAAAAAAAAUACUAAAGAUAUUUCCUGAUGCAUAUUCGAAGCUAUACUUUGAGGUGGCUACCUAUAUCUUCUCGACACAUAAAUACAUCAUGGAUGAUGUUCUCAAAGCCUUGAACUAUAAUACAAUAUCACAAUACAACAUUCUUGGAUCAUUGCUGCCUAUGAACAAUGUGAAGUGCUUUUCAAAAUGCCAGCAGAACAUGUUAGCAAUUUAUCGACUAAUGCCUUUAGGAACAUCUUUUGUGAACUAAUGACAACUCCAAAUCACAACAAUCGCUUCAAUUUCAAAAAAUAGGGUGUUGCAGUGGGGAGCUUACUAUCUAUAAGAAUAGAUUAUAGCUCCAUUUUAAAAACACUUCAAAGGCAUGCGAGAAACCUACAAGUUAACAAGUUUUAAAUCAAAGUUGUUACCUUAGCUAUUGGAAUUGCACUUCAAAUAAACUUAAUUAUGUAUUCUCUUUUCAAAUGAAA
Beta vulgaris subsp. vulgaris (sugar beet) is the source of this 628-nucleotide long non-coding RNA. RefSeq lists it as uncharacterized. NCBI's taxonomy places the organism in Eukaryota, Viridiplantae, Streptophyta, Magnoliopsida, Caryophyllales, Amaranthaceae. The transcript has 3 exons. The record is from RefSeq and is a predicted model, not a curated record.